UACGGAGGGUGCAAGCGUUACUCGGAAUCACUGGGCGUAAAGCGCGCGCAGGCGGCUUGAUAAGUUGGAUGUGAAAGCCUACGGCUCAACCGUAGAACUGCAUCCAAAACUGUCAGGCUAGAGUGUGGGAGAGGAAGAUGGAAUUAGUUGUGUAGGGGUAAAAUCCGUAGAGAUAACUAGGAAUACCAAAAGCGAAGGCAAUCUUCUGGAACACUACUGACGCUGAGGCGCGAAGGCGUGGGGAGCAAACAGGAUUAGAAACCCCAGUAGUCC
RNAcentral lists this ribosomal RNA (273 nucleotides) under uncultured bacterium. RNAcentral describes it as "partial 16S ribosomal RNA". It matches the Rfam family "Bacterial small subunit ribosomal RNA", at positions 524 to 796 of the family's 1533-position model. The record is from RNAcentral.